This 497-nucleotide ribosomal RNA is filed under the name uncultured bacterium. Its description in RNAcentral is "partial 16S ribosomal RNA". It matches the Rfam family "Bacterial small subunit ribosomal RNA", at positions 28 to 507 of the family's 1533-position model. The record is from RNAcentral.
GAUGAACGCUGGCGGCGUGCCUAAUACAUGCAAGUCGAGCGAACGGACGAGAAGCUUUUUUCUCUGAUGUUAGCGGCGGACGGGUGAGUAACACGUGGAUAACCUACUUAUAUGACUUGGAUAACUUCGGGAAACCGUAUCUAAUACCGGAUAAUAUUUUGAACCGCAUGGUUCAAAAGUGAAAGACGGUCUUGCUGUCUCUUUUAGAUGUAUCCGCGCUGUAUUAGCUAGUUGGUAAGGUAACGGCUUACCAAGGCAACGAUGCAUAGCCGACCUGAGAGGGUGAUCGGCCACACUGGAACUGAGACACGGUCCAGACUCCUACGGGAGGCAGCAGUAGGGAAUCUUCCGCAAUGGGCGAAAGCCUGACGGAGCAACGCCGCGUGAGUGAUGAAGGUCUUCGGAUCGUAAAACUCUGUUAUUAGGGAAGAACAUAUGUGUAAGUAACUGUGCACAUCUUGACGGUACCUAAUCAGAAAGCCACGGCUAACUACGUG